AAUGAACGCUGGCGGCGUGCUUAACACAUGCAAGUCGUACGAGAACUCUUCUGCUUGCAGAAGAUAGUAAAGUGGCGCACGGGUGAGUAACGCGUGGGCAAUCUACCUCCGAAUUGGGGAUAACCCCGCGAAAGCGGGGCUAAUACCGGAUAAUAUCUUUUAUAUUUCGGCAUUAAAGAUCAAAGGUGGUCUCUACAUGUAAGCUACUGUUUGGAGAUGAGCCCGCGUGCCAUUAGCUUGUUGGUAGGGUAAUGGCCUACCAAGGCUACGAUGGCUAGCUGGUCUGAGAGGAUGAUCAGCCACACUGGAACUGACACACGGUCCAGACUCCUNACGGGAGGCAGCAGUGAGGAAUUUUGCGCAAUGGGGGAAACCCUGACGCAGCAACGCCGCGUGAGUGAUGAAGGCUUUCGGGUCGUAAAGCUCUGUCAAGUGGGAAGAACAUGCUCGAUGUUAAUACCAUCGUGCACUGACGGUACCACUGAGGAAGCACCGCUAAC
Molecule: ribosomal RNA, 500 nt
Filed under: uncultured bacterium
Lineage: Bacteria
Description: bacterial SSU rRNA
Rfam family: Bacterial small subunit ribosomal RNA
Source: RNAcentral